Molecule: long non-coding RNA, 921 nt
Filed under: Salmo salar (Atlantic salmon)
Lineage: Eukaryota; Metazoa; Chordata; Actinopteri; Salmoniformes; Salmonidae
Description: lncRNA (ENSSSAG00000102195.1)
Source: RNAcentral
UUCCUUCAAGGGUCAACAUUGACACCAGAAUGAGUGUUUGGUUGAUCAUGUUGUGUUUGGUUGACUUGACCAGGUGCUGUUAGUUAGGUGUUGCUAUCUACAGUACAGAGAACACCUCAAAGCUAAAUAUUUUCCAGUGACGUCACGUUGGUGUGAAACAUGUUAACCUCGAUGCUAGACCCUCCUCUUCCUGUCACAACAUGAGUUUCAGAGAGAAGGUGAAAACAAGCUGAAAACUUUCCGCUCCAUCGAACCAAUCGCUGCUCGUAUGUCCUUUCAUGGUAAAGUACAUCUAGUCAUGAACACGGAAAUACACAGCAAAGACCUUGUUACUCAAAGACCCAGCUACUCUCUGACAGUCACCAUCAGACCAUCAGACCACCAGAUGGACAGGCUGUUUGUUUCUCUCAUCACUCUCCUGUAACCCUUUUGUGUUCCGUCUGUGGAAAUGGUUCAAUCUUGAACCCAAAAGGGCUCUACCUGGAACCAAAAGGGCUCUACCUGGAACCAAAAGGGCUCUACCUGGAACCAAAAGGGCUCUACCUGGAACCAAAAGGGCUCUACCUGGAACCAAAAGGGCUCUACCUGGAACCAAAAGGGCUCUACCUGGAACCAAAAGGGCUCUACCUGGAACCAAAAAGGCUCUACCUGGAACCAAAAGGGUUCUACUUGCAAUCAAAAAGGGUUAUUCUAAGGGUUCUCCUAUGGGAACAGCCAAAGUACCCUUUUUACUAAGACUGUAGUGUGUGCCGUUUCCUCCAGUCAGGAUGGGAUCUCUGGAACAGAGGUGGAGCUGAGAGUCAGACCAGGAGACAACGUUGUUCUUCACUGUGAUGUCAAACACCAUGAUAAAACACAUUGGCAUAGAAACAGCUCCAUUGAGAAUGUGGGUCAUUUCAGUGUUUCAAAUCAGGAUAUAAU